RNAcentral lists this transfer RNA (61 nucleotides) under Camelus bactrianus (Bactrian camel). It matches the Rfam family "tRNA", at positions 6 to 65 of the family's 71-position model. Rfam says of the family: Transfer RNA (tRNA) molecules are approximately 80 nucleotides in length. Their secondary structure includes four short double-helical elements and three loops (D, anti-codon, and T loops). Lineage: Eukaryota; Metazoa; Chordata; Mammalia; Artiodactyla; Camelidae. RNAcentral also lists the same sequence under 1 other name. The record is from Rfam by way of RNAcentral.
UAUAGCUCAGUGGUAAAGCAUGUGCUUCAUGAGCACAAGGUCCUGGGUUCAAUCCCCAGUA